CGGGGGGAGCAAGCGUUGUUCGGAUUUACUGGGCGUAAAGGGCGCGUAGGCGGCCACCGCAAGUCGACUGUGAAAUCUCCGGGCUUAACCCGGAAAGGUCAGCCGAUACUGCGGGGCUAGAGUGCAGAAGGGGCAACUGGAAUUCUCGGUGUAGCGGUGGAAUGCGUAGAUAUCGAGAGGAACACCUGCGGCGAAGGCGGGUUGCUGGGCUGACACUGACGCUGAUGCGCGAAAGCUAGGGGAGCGAACGGGAUUAGAUACCCCGGUAGUCCUAGCCUUAAACGAUGAAUGCUUGGUGUCUGGGGUUUUAUAGUCCCCGGGUGCCGUCGCUAACGCUUUAAGCAUUCCGCCUGGGGAGUACGGUCGCAAGACUG
This 374-nucleotide ribosomal RNA is filed under the name uncultured organism. RNAcentral describes it as "bacterial SSU rRNA". It matches the Rfam family "Bacterial small subunit ribosomal RNA", at positions 526 to 896 of the family's 1533-position model. The record is from RNAcentral.